This 394-nucleotide ribosomal RNA is filed under the name uncultured Rozellomycota. Its description in RNAcentral is "uncultured Cryptomycota partial small subunit ribosomal RNA". It matches the Rfam family "Eukaryotic small subunit ribosomal RNA", at positions 30 to 432 of the family's 1831-position model. The record is from RNAcentral. Lineage: Eukaryota; Fungi; Rozellomycota.
GCUUGUCUCAAAGAUUAAGCCAUGCACGUCUAAGUAUAAGCGAUUAUACUGUGAAACUGCGAAUGGCUCAUUAUAUCAGUUAUAGUUUAUUUGAUGGUCCUUGCUACUUGGAUAACCGUAGUAAUUCUAGAGCUAAUACAUGCAUAAAUCCCCGACUGCUUGGAAGGGGUGUAUUUAUUAGAUAAAAACCAAUGCCUCGUGCUUUUGGUGAGUCAUGAUAACUGCGCGGAUCGCAUGGCCUUGCGCCGGCGACGCUUCAUUCAAAUUUCUGCCCUAUCAACUUUCGAUGGUAAGAUAGAGGCUUACCAUGGUGUUAACGGGUAACGGGGAAUUGGGGUUCGAUUCCGGAGAGGGAGCCUGAGAAAUGGCUACCACUUCCAAGGAAGGCAGCAGG